AGAGUUUUAGAAUAGGGGCCCCAAACGUUUUGGGGCCCCAAAGAAAUAGCGUCGAAGCCACUGCGCAUGCGCGAGACGCAAACUGCGUUUGGGUUUUGCGUUGGGAACGCUAUUUCACCGAUUUAGCGGGAGCUCAAAUAGCGUUCCCAAAAGCUUUGCGUCAACGAACAUGGCGGCACCCAUCGAAGCGACGGCUCUAACCUAGCACCAAACUGGGUUCGAUUCGCGGUAAUGCGUGAAGUUCGUAAGCUAGGAGAAGUGACUGCAGUUAUCGCUUUCUCUCAACUAGCGUGUGUUAUGAAGAUUGAUUCAUUAGACGCCGUUGAUUCCGAAUUCGAGUGUGGAUUUUAUGGCUCGUAGGCCUAACAUGGCUAAGCUUGGCUGGUGAAGGAACGUAAAGUUGGUUUUGUUGCUCCAAACUAAGCACAACUAAUUGUUUGCUGCUUGAAGAAUAACCUCUAAAUUGUAAUUAAACGCGAAUACACGCAAGUCAAAAUUACUAUUCAUAUCAUAAGAUGGUAUAUUUUAUUUAAUUAUUUUUAAUCGUUUUUCUUAGACGCCGUAGUGGCGCUGUCAGCGCAAGACGCUAUCUGCAAACGCAAAGCCCUAUUCUAAAACUCUUCACUCCUGCGUGCCCCAACGCUAACACCCGCAAAGCUCUUUGGGGCCCCAAAAUAUUGGGGCCCCUAUUCUAAAACUCUCUAAUACCAUGACGCCAUCUUACAGUUGCGCUGCAUCACGCGAGUACGUUGUCGUUGAGUGGUUCUGAAAUCGCUGCGUUAGGGGCGACUGCAACCAGGCGUUGCGGCAAGUUACGGUGGGAGCUUCUGUCCGUGCUGUGUGAGUGCGACGAGGGGGACCGCCGCCAGCAGCAGCGUGUCGCCGAUUUCGUCUUUGCCGACAUCGAGCAAGUGCAGCUCGCCGGACCGUCACAAGCGCCCGAUGUGCGGCGGUUUGCUCUGCAUCUUUCAUUGUGAUAUGGGAGAUCGCAACGGACAGAGACCAGAUGCAUACGAACGACUACCAGCGGGGAGUGACCUGUGACAUAUUUCUCUUAACGUCUCAGGUAUUCCAAGAAAUGGCAACAGCCAGAAGUCACCAUCCUAUCCAGCACGUUAUGGGUACACUCUGGCGGCUCCUACCCCUGCGUCCUACCAUCGCCCUGUCCUGACUACGUCCACUAGAGAGUUGGGAGCCUUUGGUGGCUUCUGCCACUGCAUCCUGCCACCACUAUGUCCCGACCACGUCCACUAGGGAGUUGGCAGCCUUAGUGAUGAUGCCAAGCAGGCUGACAGCAGACAGAAAUAAUCAGGUUGCCUUGAAAUUUUACCCAAGCCAUGCCACAUACUCGGGCCAGGCCUCUUGCGAACUGCGUAUAACCAGGCUCAACGCAUCAGUGUCGAGUGAGUCCGGAGAUCAAGGAAAUCUGCUGUGCAACACUUGGUGACCCCUCUACGUGUUCCAUCUAUUUCACAGCUGUACCUCAGUUUCCAUCUAUCCAAACAGCAUCACCAGCUGUUUCUUAUCUUAUCGAACACUUAUCGAACCAUGGAUGAAUGUUGGGGUGGAGUGAUUUGAACAGACAUUCUAUUUGUCUCUUCAAAUUCUUUGCAAAUAUUUCUAUUAUUAUAAUUCAUAUGUUUCUUUAGUACCUAGUUUUUAAUAGUUCCUUUCUUGUAAAGUUCUCACCAUCAACUCCUGCUAUUAUAAUGUAUACCUGUCUUUAUGCCCCGUUUCUCAUAGUUCUUUUGUACUUGUGGAUGUAAUUGAUAGGCUCUUAAUUCUUUUUGUACAGAAGGCUAAAAUGCAAACUUACGGUAUUUUUUUCUUCCUUUGAUAACCUACAGCACUGCAAUGUGUUCAAGAAAUUUAACAUAACACGGGCUCUGGUGCAGGAUAAACUUAAGAGCAAUAUAGAGUACUUAUUUCAAGCACCCAUUAUUUUUGAAAAACUCAAGGAUAUAAGAGCACAAGAAAGAAAAUAUUAAACUAGAGAAACAUGGGUUCCCCUCAUAAGUCUGGUAAUAAUGUGACUUGUUUUCGCUGCAAUGAUACCAGUGGUACUCACAUACAAGGUUUGAGACAUAAAAGCUAUGAUACCCUUGGCAUUUCUCAGUGCUUAUUUGCCACACUGACGAAUGUCAAAGGCAGCAUAGGUUUCAUGCACACAUUGGUUAAAUUACACCUUUUGAGUAUUGCAUUUCUCAAACAUAUAGGUUUACAGCAGUGCUUUAAAUAGAUGUUUUUUCUAAUUUUCAGAAUUUCUUAAUGCAAGAUUAACGCUACAGAUCAUGUAUAAAUAAUUUUACAGACUAUAUGUCCAUGGAUGCAUGCUUCUUCUGAUGACGAAGCAGUGCCAUGUGGUCGGGGGAUGAAUGUCUUUAUUUCAGAUUUAAACAUUGGCUUCCAGGUCUGGGUUAGUCUCCUACACUGAGUAUUCUAGGUCAGAGCCCACUUACUAGAGGAAAGUGAAUUAAACUAGGAAUUGUUAACACCAAAAGAUCUUGUUUGAGACAAUAACGUGACAAUCAGCAAGGUUCUUUGUGCAUUCAUUUCCAAAUUUGUGAGAUUAUAUUUUGACUGGUUUCACUAACAUGAGAACAAAUAUUUGUUUGUUCUCACACUAGAGUUGGCUGCCCCCAUUGCCACACAACCCCUUUACAGGCUAAAAAUUCUGUGUAUUAAUAGGCUGUUUUUUGGUUUUACGCACUCAGUGUUAAGGGAUCCAAACGGUGACAUACAACAGAAUGCAGAAAAGUGACUAAGGAAUACAAGCAGGGCGUAGGGCUUUUUAGGCAGAUGCAUGCAUGUGCUAUUUAUAAAACUCACUAUGGUAUGCCUGAAGGCAUUUUCUAACCCUUUUGUAGAAACACUAUCACCCACUUAUUAAGGGGAAAUGCUUCUCGAAACAACAUUUUUAAUUAUUUGUGCUAGAGGUUUGAAUAUACUGCCAUUCAUAGGGAGUUUUAUGUAGAUUUGAAUUGUCAUUGGUUUUUGUAUAGCUGGUGUUUUUUAGUUAUGUCCUACAUAGUGGCAAAAUAUUUUUAUGUGUACAUGUAAAUAUUUCCCAGUAAUUUUUUCAGGCUACAAAUUUUGGUAAUAAUGUUAUUUGUUGCAAAAACGGCUAGUACAUGGCAUUUAAUAGAAAAGGUAUUGGUCUGUAGAUUUUCUGUCUUCAGCAUUUGUUCUGUUCCGCAGCUGUUUCUUGAAAUCUGAAAUGAUGUACCCAUCUCUUUGUUAGCGAUAAACAGGGAAAUCUGUCAGUAUGUUUUGUUUAAAAUGGAGCUGACCAACCCAAUAGUUAGGCUAUUUUCUAAUUAUAAAUUACAACAAUAAUAGUACAGGACCAUAAAAACAGAUUGAUGCUGAAUAACAGCUGUGCCCAGCUACGUCCACGCAGCUGUGCCACACAAUGUGCAUGUGUUCAGAAGAGCGAAAUGCCCCAGAGAGAAAGCAACAGUAACUUAUUGUUCGUCAUCUUGUACAAGCAGAUUAUGCGCUAGAUGUAAUUUAUACUCAGUAAAUACAUAAAUCAGUCAUGUGAGGUGUCUCGCUUUAGGUUGCAAAUUCGAACUUCUUGUAAUCUUGCUUGUUUUUAUUUUGUUUCCUUUGUGAGCAUGAGUGACUUAGUUGCCUUGGCACAUAUUGUCAAAACUGUUUCUUCUCUGGGAAUCGCAAAAUUUCAAUUACACAUAAUAUUCCCAGUUACUGAUAUGGUAGACUUCGAGCUUAAUUCUCUUAUCUUUCAUAUGUUUAUCUAUCAAAUAGUUUUAUCAUUCAUUGAAACAUAUCCAUGCAAUGCACAGUGGGAACCCAAAUUAAAAAUAUAUGUUCUUGCUUUCUACCCUGCUCUACAACAUAAUGAAGAUACAAAGCAAAACUAUAAGUUUGCAAUUGUCCUCCAUAACCAGAGUUUCGCUUAGAAUUUGAAAAACAAAAUUGACAUCCUGCUAUGGUGUUAGAGUUGCUUUGGGCACCAAGUGAACUGCGUAGCACCUGUGCUAGAGUACACAACAAAGCAGAAAAUCGCACCAGAUUGGAAUGGCAGUGGUAAGUUAAGAACUGAUGUUUUAUUUCGCGCACCAUUAAUGUGGCUUAUCAUCUGCUCCUGUUUUGUUUUGUGGGAACGCAUAAAUUGGGAAGACAAUUUUUUGCACCAAUCUUACCUUAGCGGGACACCAGAGAAAGGUAGAAAUCAACAACAGGUAUUCACACUUUGUUGCCCACAGUGUAUUAUCUGGAUGUGUUUCACUCUACAAAAGACUACUCUGGUAGAUAAUCAUAAAGAAAAAGACAAAAGAAUUAAGAGGUAUGUGUCAGUCAUCCUUCCAUGACCUCCAGUGUUUAUAGAAACACUGCUUUCUGUAUAUGUGCUAAGCCGUUGGGAGGCUUUACGUAACUCAGUCAUGCUUUCCAAGUUAAAAAUCGGAAUAAGGACAAUCACAAGAACAUCAUGCGAGUGAUUUGUAAAUGUGGCACCUAGUGUAACAUAUUUACGUAUGUGCUGAGGGUAGAUUACACCCAGUGCAUAAUCUGCUCUUACAGGAUAACUUGUGAUGAGUAAAAAAAGCCUUCCUCACAUCUUCCUCUUUGUUUCUUUUGGAUCUUGGUGCACCAUGUGUAUUGUUGCAGCUGCGUGCAUGCAGCUGGGUAUAGUUUGUUUAUGUAUUCUGCUUCCUCCCUUGUCCUCAUUAUUCAUGUGCUAUCUUUGCCGUAACAAAAUACAGCUACCUGUGCUACAUAUUUUGUCAGCGUGUUUGCAUUAUGGCAAGUUUUGUAUUAGUGGUUAUUGCAAUCUGUGAAAUUGCCUGUGUCAGCUAUUAUGCUUCGUCUUGGAAAAGUAUGUUUGUCAACAUAAAUAAACAAUUAGUAUAAAUGUUGCUGUAUUUAUUUUUGUAAUAUUAUCUGUUGUGAAGCUUUUAUACACUGUUGCAUGUUGUAUGACAGAAUAAAAUUGAUGCACAACUUUUUAA
Molecule: long non-coding RNA, 4973 nt
Organism: Dermacentor andersoni
Lineage: Eukaryota; Metazoa; Arthropoda; Arachnida; Ixodida; Ixodidae
Source: RefSeq, a predicted model, not a curated record